AUUCAAAUAGCUUAACUUAUAGAGCAUAUUAUUGAAGAUAAUAAGGUAAAUUUAUUUUUUUGAAUA
Molecule: transfer RNA, 66 nt
Filed under: Curculionoidea sp. 24 KM-2017
Lineage: Eukaryota; Metazoa; Arthropoda; Insecta; Coleoptera
Description: tRNA-Phe
Source: RNAcentral